AUGGCCAUCUUCGACGAGUUCUUUGUGGGAUCCAUUGACCUCGGCUGCCCCAAUUUCGGGAUCAUCUCGCUCAUCCCGAAAGUGCCUCGGGCGUCCGACAUCCGACAGUUUCAUCCGAUCACGGUGAUAAACGUGAUCUUCUGUAUCCUGGCGAAAGGGUACCCUAAUAGGGUGACCCUGCUUGCGAAUCGCAUCACCCACCCCAAUCAAUCGGCCUUCAUCCAAGGACGCUAUAACCUUGACGGGGUUCUCGUCCUCCACGAAGCCCUCCAUGAGGUCCGCGCUAAACACCUCAAGGCAGUCCUCUUGAAGAUUGAUUUCCAUAAGGCCUACGAUAUAGUCAGCUGGACUUUCCUUCGGGAGGUUUUGCUCUGA
Molecule: ribosomal RNA, 375 nt
Filed under: Triticum aestivum (bread wheat)
Lineage: Eukaryota; Viridiplantae; Streptophyta; Magnoliopsida; Poales; Poaceae
Description: partial small subunit ribosomal RNA
Source: RNAcentral